Molecule: small nuclear RNA, 141 nt
Filed under: Rhodnius prolixus
Lineage: Eukaryota; Metazoa; Arthropoda; Insecta; Hemiptera; Reduviidae
Description: U4 spliceosomal RNA
Rfam family: U4 spliceosomal RNA
About the family: U4 small nuclear RNA (U4 snRNA) is a component of the major U2-dependent spliceosome. The structure of U4 snRNA from yeast and human has been reported.
Source: Rfam by way of RNAcentral
AACCUUGCGCAGUGGCAAUAUCGUAACCAAUGAAGGCCUCCUGAGGUGCGAUUAUUGCUAGUUGAAAACUUUUACCAAUACCCCGCCAUGAAGCCGUGAAACACCGACUCCAUAGGCAAUUUUUGAAAGCCCCUACGGGGG